This 186-nucleotide small RNA is filed under the name Pan troglodytes (chimpanzee). RNAcentral describes it as "processed transcript". The record is from RNAcentral. Lineage: Eukaryota; Metazoa; Chordata; Mammalia; Primates; Hominidae.
ACGACCCGGAAGAGGAAGGCCCUGAGGACGUGCUCACCAUUCACGUCCAGUCUCUGGUCAGGGCCCGGAGCAGCUACGUGGCCAGGCAAUACCGAAGCCUUCGGGAUCAUCUGGCAAAGGACUCCUACAUCAGGGCUGUCUUUGGAAGCAGAGGUCCUGGGCUCCCCAAGAAGGACGAGGAUCCAG